AGAGACGAGUCAGAGUUUGAUCCUGGCUCAGGAUGAACGCUGGCGGCGUGCUUAACACAUGCAAGUCGAACGGAGUUCCUUGGAUAGAGGUUUCGGCCAAUUGAAAUGGAACUUAGUGGCGGACGGGUGAGUAACGCGUGAGGAACCUGCCUCGGAGUGGGGAAUAACACAGUGAAAAUUGUGCUAAUACCGCAUAAUGCAGUUGAGUCGCAUGGCUCUGACUGCCAAAGAUUUAUCGCUCUGAGAUGGCCUCGCGUCUGAUUAGCUAGUUGGCGGGGUAACGGCCCACCAAGGCGACGAUCAGUAGCCGGACUGAGAGGUUGACCGGCCACAUUGGGACUGAGACACGGCCCAG
RNAcentral lists this ribosomal RNA (355 nucleotides) under uncultured bacterium. RNAcentral's name for it is "bacterial SSU rRNA". It matches the Rfam family "Bacterial small subunit ribosomal RNA", at positions 1 to 334 of the family's 1533-position model. The record is from RNAcentral.